This 365-nucleotide ribosomal RNA is filed under the name uncultured bacterium. RNAcentral's name for it is "bacterial SSU rRNA". It matches the Rfam family "Bacterial small subunit ribosomal RNA", at positions 527 to 896 of the family's 1533-position model. The record is from RNAcentral.
GGAGGAUCCAAGCGUUAUCCGGAAUCAUUGGGUUUAAAGGGUCCGUAGGCGGUUUAGUAAGUCAGUGGUGAAAGCCCAUCGCUCAACGGUGGAACGGCCAUUGAUACUGCUAGACUUGAAUUAUUAGGAAGUAACUAGAAUAUGUAGUGUAGCGGUGAAAUGCUUAGAGAUUACGUGGAAUACCAAUUGCGAAGGCAGGUUACUACUAAUUGAUUGACGCUGAUGGACGAAAGCGUGGGUAGCGAACAGGAUUAGAUACCCUGGUAGUCCACGCCGUAAACGAUGGAUACUAGCUGUUGGGGGCAACUUCAGUGGCUAAGCGAAAGUGAUAAGUAUCCCACCUGGGGAGUACGAACGCAAGUUUG